AGAACGAACGCUGGCGGCAUGCCUAAUACAUGCAAGUCGAACGAACACUUCGGUGUUAGUGGCGCACGGGUGCGUAACGCGUGGGAAUCUGCCCUUGGGUUCGGAAUAACAGUUGGAAACGACUGCUAAUACCGGAUGAUAUCGAAAGAUCAAAGAUUUAUCGCCCAGGGAUGAGCCCGCGUAGGAUUAGCUAGCUGGUGAGGUAAAGGCUCACCAAGGCGACGAUCCUUAGCUGGUCUGAGAGGAUGAUCAGCCACACUGGGACUGAGACACGGCCCAGACUCCUACGGGAGCAGCAGUAGGGAAUAGUGGACAAGUGGGCGCAAGCCUGAUCCAGCAAU
Molecule: ribosomal RNA, 341 nt
Filed under: uncultured soil bacterium
Lineage: Bacteria
Description: bacterial SSU rRNA
Rfam family: Bacterial small subunit ribosomal RNA
Source: RNAcentral